RNAcentral lists this ribosomal RNA (460 nucleotides) under uncultured bacterium. Its description in RNAcentral is "partial 16S ribosomal RNA". It matches the Rfam family "Bacterial small subunit ribosomal RNA", at positions 338 to 795 of the family's 1533-position model. The record is from RNAcentral.
CCUACGGGAGGCAGCAGUGAGGAAUAUUGGUCAAUGGGCGUAAGCCUGAACCAGCCAAGUCGCGUGAGGGAUGAAGGCUCUAUGGAUUGUAAACCUCUUUUAUAAGGGAAUAAAGUGUGGGACGUGUCGUGUUUUGUAUGUACCUUAUGAAUAAGGACCGGCUAAUUCCGUGCCAGCAGCCGCGGUAAUACGGAGGAUCCGAGCGUUAUCCGGAUUUAUUGGGUUUAAAGGGAGCGUAGAUGGGUUGUUAAGUCAGUUGUGAAAGUUUGCGGCUCAACCCUAAAAUUGCAAUUGAUACUGGCAGUCGUGAGUGCAGUUGAGGUAGGCGGAAUUCGUGGUGUAGCGGUGAAAUGCUUAGAUAUCACGAAGAACUCCGAUUGCGAAGGCAGCUUACUAAACUGCAACUGACAUUGAUGCUCGAAAGUGUGGGUAUCGAACAGGAUUAGAUACCCUGGUAGUC